GCAGUGCAAUGAUCCGACGCGAGCUGGGCGGCGACAGUGGCCUUCUCUGGCGUUGCUCUUCACUGUCGGUGAGAUCUCCCUCCUCCACGAAUUUCUAAAUUUCUAGGGUUAGGGUUCUUGGUUUUUGGGAUUGAGGCAGAACAAGAUAAAUAAAGGAAAACAAACAGAAGAGAGGAAUAGGUGAUGUAGGUUGAUGGUGGAAAUUGAGAUUGGCGCUCGGAGGUGGGAUCAAUUCAGGAGGUGUAUCAUGGUGUAGGAGGAGAAGAAGGCCAGGUGGAUGGUGGACAGAAAGAGGAGGAGCUCAAGGUUGCGGAGGAGGAACAACAAUAGAGUAUCUUCUUAGAUCCAGCCAAUGGCGAUGACCUUGUUUCUACUCUUUUAUAGAUAAACUGCUCUUUUUCUUUCUUCCUGGGAGCUCCACCAUCUUGAAUGAACUGGACUGUCACCUAGUACUGAGAAAAACCAUGUUUGGCCAUUUUUAACUUAGAAUGGAGUUGGGAUGCUGCUACUAUAUUUUUAUCUGUAUUACAAUGUUCAUCCCAUCAUUAUGCAUAUGCUCU
Molecule: long non-coding RNA, 560 nt
Filed under: Triticum aestivum (bread wheat)
Lineage: Eukaryota; Viridiplantae; Streptophyta; Magnoliopsida; Poales; Poaceae
Description: long non-coding RNA (TAES_LNC016225)
Source: RNAcentral